UGUGAACUCGAAGAGUAGGGCGGGACACGUGGUAUCCUGUCUGAAUAUGGGGGGACCAUCCUCCAAGGCUAAAUACUCCUGACUGACCGAUAGUGAACCAGUACCGUGAGGGAAAGGCGAAAAGAACCCCGGCGAGGGGAGUGAAAAAGAACCUGAAACCGUGUACGUACAAGCAGUGGGAGCACCUUCGGGUGUGACUGCGUACCUUUUGUAUAAUGGGUCAGCGACUUAUAUUCUGUAGCAAGGUUAACCGUAUAGGGGAGCCGCAGGGAAACCGAGUCUUAACUGGGCGUUAAGUUGCAGGGUAUAGACCCGAAACCCGGUGAUCUAGCCAUGGGCAGGUUGAAGGUUGGGUAACACUAACUGGAGGACCGAACCGACUAAUGUUGAAAAAUUAGCGGAUGACUUGUGGCUGGGGGUGAAAGGCCAAUCAAACCGGGAGAUAGCUGGUUCUCCCCGAAAGCUAUUUAGGUAGCGCCUCGUGAACUCAUCUUCGGGGGUAGAGCACUGUUUCGGCUAGGGGGUCAUCCCGACUUACCAACCCGAUGCAAACUACGAAUACCGAAGAAUGUUAUCACGGGAGACACACGGCGGGUGCUAACGUCCGUCGUGAAGAGGGAAACAACCCAGACCGCCAGCUAAGGUCCCAAAGUCAUGGUUAAGUGGGAAACGAUGUGGGAAGGCACAGACAGCCAGGAUGUUGGCUUAGAAGCAGCCAUCAUUUAAAGAAAGCGUAAUAGCUCACUGGUCGAGUCGGCCUGCGCGGAAGAUGUAACGGGGCUAAACCAUGCACCGAAGCUGCGGCAGCGACACUAUGUGUUGUUGGGUAGGGGAGCGUUCUGUAAGCCUGCGAAGGUGUGCUGUGAGGCAUGCUGGAGGUAUCAGAAGUGCGAAUGCUGACAUAAGUAACGAUAAAGCGGGUGAAAAGCCCGCUCGCCGGAAGACCAAGGGUUCCUGUCCAACGUUAAUCGGGGCAGGGUGAGUCGACCCCUAAGGCGAGGCCGAAAGGCGUAGUCGAUGGGAAACAGGUUAAUAUUCCUGUACUUGGUGUUACUGCGAAGGGGGGACGGAGAAGGCUAUGUUAGCCGGGCGACGGUUGUCCCGGUUUAAGCAUGUAGGCUGAUUGUCCAGGCAAAUCCGGAUAAUCAAGGCUGAGGUGUGAUGACGAGGCACUACGGUGCUGAAGUAACAAAUGCCCUGCUUCCAGGAAAAGCCUCUAAGCAUCAGGUAACAUUAAAUCGUACCCCAAACCGACACAGGUGGUCAGGUAGAGAAUACCAAGGCGCUUGAGAGAACUCGGGUGAAGGAACUAGGCAAAAUGGUGCCGUAACUUCGGGAGAAGGCACGCUGGUGUGUAGGUGAAGUCCCUGCGGAUGGAGCUGAGACCAGUCGAAGAUACCAGCUGGCUGCAACUGUUUAUUAAAAACACAGCACUGUGCAAACACGAAAGUGGACGUAUACGGUGUGACGCCUGCCCGGUGCCGGAAGGUUAAUUGAUGGGGUUAUCCGUAAGGAGAAGCUCUUGAUCGAAGCCCCGGUAAACGGCGGCCGUAACUAUAACGGUCCUAAGGUAGCGAAAUUCCUUGUCGGGUAAGUUCCGACCUGCACGAAUGGCGUAAUGAUGGCCAGGCUGUCUCCACCCGAGACUCAGUGAAAUUGAACUCGCUGUGAAGAUGCAGUGUACCCGCGGCAAGACGGAAAGACCCCGUGAACCUUUACUAUAGCUUGACACUGAACAUUGAGCCUUGAUGUGUAGGAUAGGUGGGAGGCUUUGAAGCGUGGACGCCAGUCUGCGUGGAGCCAACCUUGAAAUACCACCCUUUAAUGUUUGAUGUUCUAACGUUGGCCCCUUACCGGGGUUGCGGACAGUGUCUGGUGGGUAGUUUGACUGGGGCGGUCUCCUCCCAAAGCGUAACGGAGGAGCACGAAGGUUAGCUAAUCCUGGUCGGACAUCAGGAGGUUAGUGCAAUGGCAUAAGCUAGCUUGACUGCGAGCGUGACGGCGCGAGCAGGUGCGAAAGCAGGUCAUAGUGAUCCGGUGGUUCUGAAUGGAAGGGCCAUCGCUCAACGGAUAAAAGGUACUCCGGGGAUAACAGGCUGAUACCGCCCAAGAGUUCAUAUCGACGGCGGUGUUUGGCACCUCGAUGUCGGCUCAUCACAUCCUGGGGCUGAAGUAGGUCCCAAGGGUAUGGCUGUUCGCCAUUUAAAGUGGUACGCGAGCUGGGUUUAGAACGUCGUGAGACAGUUCGGUCCCUAUCUGCCGUGGGCGCUGGAGAAUUGAGGGGGGCUGCUCCUAGUACGAGAGGACCGGAGUGGACGCAUCACUGGUGUUCGGGUUGUCAUGCCAAUGGCACUGCCCGGUAGCUAAAUGCGGAAGAGAUAAGUGCUGAAAGCAUCUAAGCACGAAACUUGCCCCGAGAUGAGUUCUCCCUGAGACUUUAAGUCUCCUGAAGGAACGUUGAAGACGACGACGUUGAUAGGCCGGGUGUGUAAGCGCAGCGAUGCGUUGAGCUAACCGGUACUAAUGAACCGUGAGGCUUAACCUU
This 2545-nucleotide ribosomal RNA is filed under the name Klebsiella pneumoniae. Its description in RNAcentral is "bacterial LSU rRNA". It matches the Rfam family "Bacterial large subunit ribosomal RNA", at positions 398 to 2925 of the family's 2925-position model. The record is from RNAcentral. Lineage: Bacteria; Pseudomonadati; Pseudomonadota; Gammaproteobacteria; Enterobacterales; Enterobacteriaceae.